GGCCCCAUCGUCUAACGGUUANNGGUUAGGACAUCAGGUUCUCAUCCUGAAAAUUCGGGUUCGAUUCCCGGUGGGGUCACCA
This 82-nucleotide transfer RNA is filed under the name Candidatus Uhrbacteria bacterium. Its description in RNAcentral is "tRNA-Glu". It matches the Rfam family "tRNA". From Rfam's summary of the family: Transfer RNA (tRNA) molecules are approximately 80 nucleotides in length. Lineage: Bacteria; Candidatus Uhriibacteriota. The record is from RNAcentral.